AAAAGUGCAACGACUCAACAAAUUCCACUGGGCAUCUUUAUUAAUAGUAAUAAAGAUGCCUAGUGGAAUUUGUUGAGUCGUUGCACUUAUUUA
This 93-nucleotide microRNA precursor is filed under the name Paramuricea clavata. Lineage: Eukaryota; Metazoa; Cnidaria; Anthozoa; Malacalcyonacea; Plexauridae. The record is from RNAcentral.